GGUUGUGGCUCAGUGGUAGAGCAUUUUCUUAGCAUGUGUGAGGCACUGGGUUCAAUUCUCAGCACCA
RNAcentral lists this transfer RNA (67 nucleotides) under Marmota monax (woodchuck). RNAcentral's name for it is "tRNA.Ala". Lineage: Eukaryota; Metazoa; Chordata; Mammalia; Rodentia; Sciuridae. The record is from RNAcentral.